RNAcentral lists this ribosomal RNA (543 nucleotides) under Triticum aestivum (bread wheat). RNAcentral's name for it is "partial small subunit ribosomal RNA". The record is from RNAcentral. Lineage: Eukaryota; Viridiplantae; Streptophyta; Magnoliopsida; Poales; Poaceae.
AUGGCACGCCGUAAGAAGCUUGUUGAUGACAGCGGGUGGAAGGAUGUACUGUUUGCCAACGAAUACGCCCUGCUCAUGGGGUACCUGUCCAUGGCCGUCAAGGGCCUUGGUUUUCUGGUGCUUACUUGGACCACCGUGGUUCUUUUGGGUGGCUUCGUCUCUACACUGCAGAAGAAGGAUUUCUGGUCUCUUACAUUCAUCACCCUAGCACAAACAGCUGGGAUUUUCGAUGUUCUUCUGACUGAAAAGCUAAGCUAUAUUGGGGAUUCAAUUUCGGCCAUUAUAUCUGUUCGAUUGGCCCUGUUUGAUGAUCACCCUUUGCAGCGUAAACGCCAGGUGCUGGCAACUGUUGUAGCCACUGUUCAACAAGUAGUAUUUGUCAUUCUAUUGUGCCCUCUGGCGACUGUCUACAUGUUUGGGUUGUUAAUCUCUGCGGGGAUUUCUGUGUGGCGUCUGAGGCAACAUGAUUACGGGAGUGAUGCCGACGGACUUGGAAACCUGAAGCCGGCGCUCGACAUCUUGUAUUCCAUUGCUCUACUCUAG